Small nuclear RNA from Homalodisca vitripennis (glassy-winged sharpshooter), 107 nucleotides. The record is from RefSeq and is a predicted model, not a curated record. Lineage: Eukaryota; Metazoa; Arthropoda; Insecta; Hemiptera; Cicadellidae.
GUACUUGCUUCGGCAGUACAUAUACUAAUAUUGGAACGACACAGAGAAGAUUAGCAUGGCCUCUGCGUAAGGAUAUAUAGAUUUAAAAUCAUAUUAUUUUUAUUAUU